ACACACACACACACACACACACACACACACACACACACACACACAGUUCUUUGUGGCUGGGCCUGGAGCCCUGACAGUGAUCUACAUGCACAUGUGUGAAGGAGCGUCUUCAGUUACCCCUCUGCACACACAUGGUUAUUUCGAGCUGCUGAAGUCCUGCUGUAACCCGGCGAAAUAAUAGGAGGAGCCGAGCUCUCCUCUUUCCAUUCUGUUCCUCAGAGCCAUUGCUGCACCUUCCGGCGGGCUUCCCUCUGAGUGAAAAGGUUGUGUCCUCUCCACAUGGCUCUCCAAGUUGGAUCCUAAUUUUAAAGCAAUGGAGAACGUGCCUCUGCAGGUUCUGACUGUGCCCACAGCCCCCUACCCCGACCAGAGACCCGGCACCAGCGGCCUUAGAAAGAAGGUCUACGUGUUUCAGUCCAAGAGGAACUAUCUGCACAACUUUAUCCAGAGUAUCUUCUCUUCCAUUGACUUACCUGACCGUCAGGGUGCAACCCUCGUGGUGGGAGGAGACGGCCGCUUCUUCAACAGACCGGCGAUUGGGGUCAUUGUUCAGAUGGCAGCUGCCAACGGGAUCGGACGUCUUAUCAUUGGACACCAUGGGAUAAUGUCAACGCCAGCGGUCUCAUGUGUCAUCAGGAAAUACAAAGCCAUCGGUGGGAUUAUCCUUACUGCCAGCCACAACCCCGGUGGACCCGGUGGAGACUUUGGCAUUAAGUUUAACACAGCAGCUGGAGGCCCAGCAAAGGAGGAGGUCACAAGCAAGAUCUACCAGAUCAGCAGAACCAUUGAGGAGUUUGCUAUUUGCCCUGGACUGUGUGUGGAUCUGAAAACCCUCGGCAAACAGGCGUUUGAUCUAGAAAACAAGUUCAAACCCUUCACAGUGGAAAUAGUUGACCCUGUGGAGUCCUACGCUAACCUUCUGAGGAACAUCUUUGACUUUGCGGCUUUGAAGGAACUUCUGUCUGGCGAGAAUCAUAUCAGCAUAAGGCUAGAUGCAAUGCAUGGAGCGCUGGGACCAUAUGUGAAGAGAAUACUGUGUGAGGAGCUGGGUUGCCCGGCUAACUCUGCCAUUAACUGUGUCCCGCUGGAAGACUUCGGAGGUCAACCCCCCGAUCCUAACCUUAUGUAUGCUGCAGACCUGGUUGACAGCAUGAGAGACGGACAGUAUGACUUUGGAGCGGCAUUUGAUGGGGACGGGGACCGUAGCAUGAUCCUGGGUAAGCAUGGUUUUUUCGUCACCCCGUCUGACUCUGUGGCUGUGAUAGCGGACAACAUCUUCUGCAUCCCGUACUUUCAGCAUACAGGCGUAAGAGGCUUUGCCCGCAGCAUGCCUACAAGCACAGCGUUGGACAGAGUAGCCAAAGCAACAAAAAUAGAGCUGCAUGAAACUCCCACUGGCUGGAGGUUCUUUGGGAACCUGAUGGACGCCGGCAAGCUGUCUUUGUGUGGAGAGGAAAACUUUGGUACAGGUGGGGACCACAUUCGUGAGAAGGAUGGGCUUUGGGCUGUGCUGGCAUGGCUGUCCAUCAUUGCGACUAGAAGGCAGAGUGUGGAGGACAUUCUGAAGGAACACUGGUUGAAAUAUGGAAGAAAUUACUUCACAAGAUAUGACUAUGAGAAUGUUGACAUAGAUGCAGCGUGCGACAUGAUGGAGGAUUUGGAGAUUCUGAUCUCAGACAAGUCCUUUGUGAAGCAGAGAUUUGCUGUUGAAGACAAAAUCUACCAGGUGGAAAAAGCUGACAACUUUGAGUACACAGACCCUGUGGACAGCACCAUAACCAGGAACCAGAAUCAUCUACAGGCUGGGUGGGACAGCUGCUGAGGGAGCAACAGUCAGGAUCUACAUUGACAGCUAUGAAAGGAAACUCAUAUUUGAAGACACCCAGGUGAUACUGGCGCCCCUGGCAACUAUUGCUCUCAAGAUUUCUCAGCUUCAUCACAGGACGAGUCGAAAGGGGCCGUCACUCAUUACAUGAAUCUUCCUCCAAAGGGCUUCAUCUCCCAUUAAUUUUUUUUUUUUUUAUUAUAUUGUUCCUCCCAUAUUUUGUGUAAACAGAACAGCAAAUCAAGGAGGGGAAGCACUUAGUGCAACAGAUGACAUUUCUGACUCAUCUUUGUAUUUUAAUCAUGCAUCUGGGAUGUAAUUGAAUGUGUUUUUGCCUGGAAUGAACUCCAUCUGCUUCCUGCUUAUGGAGUUUUGACUCCUCUGCAUUGUGUCUGAUUAGAGCAACUCCAGUAAUUAUUCGCCACUGCAUGCUCUCUGCUCUUCCACUGAUGUUGUUUUUACUAAUGUGACUUUGCAUACAAAUAUUGUUUGCUGAAGACUACUGAGAGCUUAAUUUCAUAUAAAUAGGCUGGUUGCUUCCAGGCCCUCUAAUACUGUAUUGUAUUUUAACACAGACUGUGUUUUGGAUUAAAAAGCCUAUGACAGCCUCACUCUCUUCAGCUUCAAACUAUUCUUUUGGAACAUGUGUGCUCCGUAAUUUGGGAAAAGUGAAACUCCUCAGCGAAUAAUAACCUAAAACAGUGCAUGCGUGUCAUAAACCAUUGCAGCAAUUAAAGUCAGCUCUCCAGAAAAUUACAAAAAUAAAAACAAGGCACCAUUUUGUUCACCAGAUAGAAUGAUCUCUUUUUUUUUUUUACGUGUCGUCAUGAAUAAACUUCUGUUUAAUUGUA
Molecule: RNA transcript, 2676 nt
Organism: Fundulus heteroclitus (mummichog)
Lineage: Eukaryota; Metazoa; Chordata; Actinopteri; Cyprinodontiformes; Fundulidae
Gene name: phosphoglucomutase-1
Exons: 11
Source: RefSeq, a predicted model, not a curated record